This 133-nucleotide ribosomal RNA is filed under the name uncultured bacterium. Its description in RNAcentral is "partial 16S ribosomal RNA". The record is from RNAcentral.
CGGAGUUAGCCGGGGUUUCUUUACCUGCUACAGUCAUUAUCUUCACAGGCGAAAGAGCUUUACGACCCUAAGGCCUUCAUCACUCACGCGGCAUGGCUGGAUCAGGCUUGCGCCCAUUGUCCAAGAUUCCCCA